UUGAACUCAUCUCUCUUAGUCCAAGUACACCAUCUGAUCUGCCACACAUUGACUCUUCCUUCUGGAAUAGUGUUCCUUAUUCUCGUUUUCCCUUGCUGUUUCCUAAGGUUCUGUAGUCUCAGAGCAUGGUUGUAAGAAUCAGUCUGAUGCCACCACAUGAUACCACCAAGUCGUGUUUCCCUAACCCAAAGCUGGCAGUCAGCGUUAGGUUGGAUCCUCUCUACAGCCUGAAUAUGCUUGGUUUCACCCCAAAAUAGCUUUGCUGAGCUUGGACAGAGAGAGAGGAAAAGCAACAGGCAGGGAAGAGCCAAAUAAAAGCAACAGAUGUUAACA
RNAcentral lists this long non-coding RNA (333 nucleotides) under Pogona vitticeps (central bearded dragon). RNAcentral's name for it is "lncRNA (ENSPVIG00000012228.1)". The record is from RNAcentral. Lineage: Eukaryota; Metazoa; Chordata; Lepidosauria; Squamata; Agamidae.